UCAUAUAGCCAUAUCACCCUGCAGCCCAUGACUGGUUACUCACUGAAGCUAAGCAGGGCUGAGCUUGUUUAAUGCCUUAAUGGGAGACCACAUGGAAAAACUAGGGUGCUGUUGGAA
This 117-nucleotide ribosomal RNA is filed under the name Danio rerio (zebrafish). Lineage: Eukaryota; Metazoa; Chordata; Actinopteri; Cypriniformes; Danionidae. The record is from RNAcentral.